This 235-nucleotide long non-coding RNA is filed under the name Musa acuminata (dwarf banana). Its description in RNAcentral is "long non-coding RNA (MACU_LNC009236)". Lineage: Eukaryota; Viridiplantae; Streptophyta; Magnoliopsida; Zingiberales; Musaceae. The record is from RNAcentral.
CCCCGGCUAGGGAUUUUUCUGAGCAAGAACACAUGAGAUAUUCCUCUCAUGACGCCGAGAGUGGAUGAUCCUCUAUCGACACUCAAUAGCCCUCGUAAUGUCGACUACCACUCCCAAUGACCAGCUGUACUAGAUCUGGGACAGCCAAACCUAUAAGUCUAGUAUCAAAGAGUGGAGCACUCAUACAGGACAUCCUUGGUGUCUCAAGUCUAAGGACCAGAUAUACCACUAGGAC